GAGGCCUUGCUUCACAACCUUGACCUUCUUUCCAAGGCUGCACCCAGCGAGAUGGAACCCACCGCAAGCCGUGAUCUGUAAGCAAACACAUAUAACCUCUGCCUGUUAAUUGUACUUUAAC
Athene cunicularia (burrowing owl) is the source of this 121-nucleotide long non-coding RNA. RefSeq lists it as uncharacterized. The transcript has 3 exons. Lineage: Eukaryota; Metazoa; Chordata; Aves; Strigiformes; Strigidae. The record is from RefSeq and is a predicted model, not a curated record.